UGCAGCUAGGGUGAGAAUUUAA
This 22-nucleotide unclassified non-coding RNA is filed under the name Mus musculus (house mouse). Its description in RNAcentral is "oocyte_clustered_small_RNA634". The record is from RNAcentral. Lineage: Eukaryota; Metazoa; Chordata; Mammalia; Rodentia; Muridae.